AGUUUCUACGGUGGUCGAUCGCCUUCCGAAUUUCAUCCAAGCUCCUACAAGAGCUGGACUCCGUCCGAACUUCUACAGUGGAUGGAUCCCAUACGCACUUCUACAAUGGACGGGCUCCACCAGUCGGAUCUCUACUCUGAACUACUAUUGCAAGCGGACUUUAUCCGAGCUUCUACAAUAAGAAGUCUCCAUCCGAGCUUCCACGGCAACCG
RNAcentral lists this long non-coding RNA (212 nucleotides) under Elaeis guineensis (African oil palm). RNAcentral describes it as "long non-coding RNA (EGUI_LNC063122)". The record is from RNAcentral. Lineage: Eukaryota; Viridiplantae; Streptophyta; Magnoliopsida; Arecales; Arecaceae.